Molecule: unclassified non-coding RNA, 145 nt
Filed under: soil metagenome
Description: partial internal transcribed spacer 1
Source: RNAcentral
UAAUAAGUGUUUUAUGGCACUUUUUAAAUCCAUAUCCACCUUGUGUGCAAUGUCAGUCGAUCUUCUUUAUUGGAGAUCGACCAAACAUCAACCUUUAUUUUUAACUCUUUGUCUGAAAAAUAUUAUGAAUAAACAAUUCAAAAUA